GGGCUAAGCCCGGGGAUGGAGUCACCCGCCCUCCCGGGGCUAGCAGGCUGGGGCGGGGACGAAGAAAACGACCGCGUGAUCUCUGAGAGGUCUGAUAGCCCAUUCUGCAGAGAUUACAGACAGGGCCUUACAGUGGGUGCCAUUCCAGAGCAUUCACAAACUACAGAGGUAAGUCACUUGGAUCUCCAGUGGCGAGCUAGCUCUUGGUUUUUCUUACAUCGCCUUUCCAGUAUAACUAACAGAACUUCUCUGGGGGGUUGCCAUUUGUCUCCUUUCUGAACUGGAUUUUAGAUCGGGUCAGGGCCCUCAUGUCUUGGACGUGGUUUCAUAGGGAAGUUAGGUGGCUCUUGUAGAAUCUGCUUCCCCAACAGUAGAUCUGAGUGUGGCCGCACCAGCCUGCGGCAGGUUGCUCCGUCUCCAGUUGUCCAUGCACAUCCCUUCCCCCCACCUCCUACAGUCGUGGCCUUGACUCUGUUUCCCCUUGGGUUUCAGGUCCAGGUUGCCUAGCUCAUUUUCCAGUCACUUAGUCUUUGAGGAAAUAUUUUUUAGGCUUCUACAACUAGGUGAACUCAGCUAGAUUAUUAUGUAUUAUUUUGGGCCCUGGGGAAGAAGCCUCCUUUCUGGAGCAUUUCUUUAUCCUCUACAAUGUAAAAAAAAAAAAUGUAAAUAAAAUGAGCAUGGUACAUUGCCA
Molecule: long non-coding RNA, 691 nt
Filed under: Vombatus ursinus (common wombat)
Lineage: Eukaryota; Metazoa; Chordata; Mammalia; Diprotodontia; Vombatidae
Description: lncRNA (ENSVURG00010011977.1)
Source: RNAcentral